This 343-nucleotide unclassified non-coding RNA is filed under the name soil metagenome. Its description in RNAcentral is "partial contains 5.8S ribosomal RNA, internal transcribed spacer 2, and large subunit ribosomal RNA". The stretch from base 1 to 120 matches the Rfam family "5.8S ribosomal RNA", at positions 35 to 154 of the family's 154-position model. The record is from RNAcentral.
GAUGAAGAACGUAGCGAAAUGCGAUAAGUAAUGUGAAUUGCAGAAUUCAGUGAAUCAUCGAAUCUUUGAACGCACAUUGCGCCCGCUAGUAUUCUGGCGGGCAUGCCUGUCCGAGCGUCAUUUCAACCCUCAAGCCCCCGGGCUUGGUGUUGGGGAUCGGCGAGCCUCCGCGCCCGCCGUCCCCUAAAUCUAGUGGCGGUCUCGCUGUAGCUUCCUCUGCGUAGUAGCACACCUCGCACUGGGAAACAGCGCGGCCACGCCGUUAAACCCCCAACUUCUGAACGUUUGACCUCGGAUCAGGUAGGAAUACCCGCUGAACUUAAGUAUAUCAAUAAGCGGAGGA